Molecule: ribosomal RNA, 484 nt
Filed under: uncultured bacterium
Lineage: Bacteria
Description: partial 16S ribosomal RNA
Rfam family: Bacterial small subunit ribosomal RNA
Source: RNAcentral
AUUGAACGCUGGCGGCAGGCCUAACACAUGCAAGUCGAGCGGAUGAAGGGAGCUUGCUCCUGGAUUCAGCGGCGGACGGGUGAGUAAUGCCUAGGAAUCUGCCUGGUAGUGGGGGAUAACGUCCGGAAACGGGCGCUAAUACCGCAUACGUCCUGAGGGAGAAAGUGGGGGAUCUUCGGACCUCACGCUAUCAGAUGAGCCUAGGUCGGAUUAGCUAGUUGGUGGGGUAAAGGCCUACCAAGGCGACGAUCCGUAACUGGUCUGAGAGGAUGAUCAGUCACACUGGAACUGGGACACGGUCCAGACUCCUACGGGAGGCAGCAGCGGGGAAUAUUGGACAAUGGGCGAAAGCCUGAUCCAGCCAUGCCGCGUGUGUGAAGAAGGUCUUCGGAUUGUAAAGCACUUUAAGUUGGGAGGAAGGGCAGUAAGUUAAUACCUUGCUGUUUUGACGUUACCAACAGAAUAAGCACCGGCUAACUUCGUG